RNAcentral lists this ribosomal RNA (270 nucleotides) under uncultured bacterium. Its description in RNAcentral is "partial 16S ribosomal RNA". It matches the Rfam family "Bacterial small subunit ribosomal RNA", at positions 89 to 354 of the family's 1533-position model. The record is from RNAcentral.
CGGCGACCGGCGCACGGGUGAGUAACACGUAUGCAACCUGCCCUCCGCAGGGGGAUAACCCGGAGAAAUCCGGACUAAUACCGCGUGGUACACCAGUGGGGCAUCCCACGGGUGUUAAAAGGAAGCGAUUCCGGCGGAGGAUGGGCAUGUGGCGCAUUAGCUUGUUGGCGGGGUAACGGCCCACCAAGGCGACGAUGCGUAGGGGUUCUGAGAGGAAGGUCCCCCACACUGGUACUGAGACACGGACCAGACUCCUACGGAAGGCAGCAG